This is a long non-coding RNA of Ictalurus punctatus (channel catfish), 3187 nucleotides long. The record is from Ensembl. NCBI's taxonomy places the organism in Eukaryota, Metazoa, Chordata, Actinopteri, Siluriformes, Ictaluridae.
GCGGGUGCGUGGGACAGCGAGAGGAGAACACGUGCUUGAGAUAAAGAGAGAAAGGCUCGUGAAUUAUCAGAAAUCACUUUUCCUGUCUUUCCUUUUUUAUUUGACUGAAGCUGAGCACUUUUGGUUAAAAAAAAAAAAAAGGAAAAAAAAAAAAAACCAUUCCUGCCAUGGAGAACACCACCACAUUGUCCUGCAGAAACAUUUCUGAUGGUGAUGGUUACACUUACAAAGUGCCGUCUUAUAUACCAUCUGCUCUACUGCAGGACGAGGACUGUGAGCAAGAGUGGAAAAAUAAGGCAGGGGAGUUUUUGUCAGAUGGACAUCAUCAUGCAAAUAAAACUGAGCACCCACUGGUUCGUAAUGAAACCAUAAAAAACAUCAAAGUCUCUGAAUGCAUCGAGCUUCACCAUUCUGUGACCUGUCAUGGAUCGAGUCAAAAGUUUAUACACACUUACCAAGUGAUCAAUGACACCGCCCUGAGUUUUGAGCAGCAAUCCAAUAGCACCACCACCAACACCACCAUCAUCUCUGUUGUCGUUCCCCUUAUUCUGAUUGUAGUCCUGAUUGUAGGCCUACAUAAAACGGUACACUACAUAAAAAGGUAUAACAAGAACAAGAGAAGCUGUGUCAAAAGUAGUCAUAUCAAUGAAGAAGCUCAACCAGCCCAAGCCAUGGAAUUGGUGAGCACCCAGAGCACUCCAAGAGCAUAUGAAGAUUAAGCUUCUCCCUCCGGUCUGAUUCUGCCUUUUCUAUAAUCGUACUUAUAUAUCUGCUUUUGCACUUUCACUACUCUUUUUUUUUUUGUGUGCAUUUUUUAACAUUUUAAAAAUAUUAAAUAGAUAAACAGAGACCUUGGAAUUAUAGGAUUCUUACAAGAUACAAGUGUUUUAAUCAUGCCAAAGCAGACAGAACAAUUUUUAUACUUCACACAUUUUGUUAUACUUUGUAGCAGUAUUUUGGUGUAAAAUAUAUUGUAUAUGUAUAUUAGACAUACAAAAUAACAUCUUUUAUAACAUCAACUCAUUUUUGCCAAUGAAAGGGAACAUAAAACAUUAUGCUUUCAACUCGAGGUUGCAUAUUGUACUAACUCCAACCAGCAAAAGCCAAAGAAUUCCUCCUAACUUGAAACUGGGGUGGUCUCCUCAACAACCAAUUCCUUUCCUGUUUACAGUGAUUGAUCUUUUACUGUAGAUCAAUCAUGAUAUAGAAAUAUCUGCUUUUUAAAUCUAGAUCACUGUCUGUACGAUUUGUGGAGAAAACUAUACAUCACUCAUCACAGCUAGCUGACUAACUUGGUGCAAACUUUGUCGAACAUUCCAAGGUGGAAAAUGACGCCAUUCCAGCCAGAAAAUUAUCAUAAAGUCGAAUGCGUAGUAUAAUUCCAAGGUCUUGAAAUGUAGAUGAGCCAGUAUUAAAAAACACUUUGUUUCGUAUUUAUGUUUAAAUGGUAAAAUACUUCUGCACAUUCCUUUUUUAUUAUUUUUUUUUAAAAAAGUGAUUUUCAAUAUACUGUACCAAAAUAGACCCCAAAAUUCUCAUGAUUCAAGCUGACUUGUAAGAAGAGUGAAAAGUAAACCGGUAUUUUAUAAAAAGAUGUAUUGCUGCAUCAUUAACACUGGCUAUAGGUUAUACAGAAGAGACUGCUAUAACUGAGCUAUUAGUCAAGUUUAAUUCAGUAUUUGAGAAAAAAAAUCAGGCUGCCCCUUCAUUUUAUUAAAAACACUUUUUAUAGUACUGUGAAUUAAAAUGUUGCACAAAACAAUGAAGACCAAAUAACUUUUAUUAAAUCCUAAAGUAAUAUAAAAUACAGUAUUAAUAAUCAAAGAUUGUUAAAUUUGUUUUCUUAUUGUAUGUUAUUUAUCACUUCAUGCUGCCAUUUAAAGAAUGUAUUUGUUUUAAACAGCUAACCACUCUGAAUGUAGCAUUAAAGCAGGGGUGUCAAACAUGCCACCUGUAGGACUUGACCAGCCCUAUAGAGUUAUUUGUAAUCCAACCCAGCAAAUGAAUUUAGGAACCGUAAUAUUUUUAUGCACAUUUAUUUCUUUUUAAUGAAUUGCAGAGUGCACACAAUGUACUUUUCCACUAAAUUGGUCAAUAACCAACUUUUUCUGGCCCAUCAGACUAAGUAUAAUCCAUUAUGUAAGAUGCCCCUGAUUUAAAGCGUUAAUUUGUACACAUGCAAUACUUCUUUUUUUUUUCUUAAAAUAUUUCUUUAUCUUAUUUUCUUUAACACUCUCACUUGAUUCGGAAUCUAAAUGUCUAUCAAGCUUCUCUGUGACUGUACAAUAAAAUAUCUGGCCUUGCUGAGUGCCUUUCUUUUAUAUAUGUAGCCUGAACUGGAGAACUCUAUAUCUUGCGUGAAUGUAGCUGUUGCUGUAGAAUGAGACAAUCUGAAUAAACAUUUCUCUUUUAAUACCACAGUACUGUUUCAUUCUGAAUUGUGAUUGGCCACAAUGUGUUGAUUGAUUUUUCUUUAAGAGCAGCUCUGGCAGUAGUGCAGCUGCAAAUUGGUUCAUGUCUAGUUUGGUCUCUCAUGGAAAAAUUACAAUAUGAUGCCAUAUUGUUACACCCUUAAACACUGUAUAUGACUUAACGUACCUUGUGUUUCUUUUGCUGUCUGUUUCAGAAAGUUCCUACAAAGCACAUGUCAGAAUGAUAACAUGGUCAGUACUACUGAGUGUCCAAUACAGAAAACAAUGGGAAUUUAAUGGCUACUGGUACAGUGCUGCUAGAAAGUUUGUGAACCCUUUACAGGUUUCUGUAUUUCUGCAUAACUUUUACCAGAAAUGUGAUCAGAUCUGGAGGACACCUCAUUUCCUCCAAACAUGGUUUUAGUCUAUUGGCAUAUAGAGACGCUAAUCAUUUGUAAUCAGAGUUAAGCAGCGUAAUUGGGUGCCAAUUAUCCAAGUGCAAAAUGUCUUAGGUUUUGGAAGUAGAGUAAUUACUCCCUCUUUCAUAGAUUCUGUAAGUUCUCCAUUUGUAGCACAUUCAUUAAACACAUUUAAAAUAAACUCUAUCAUCUUCCAAUAAAACUCAAAAGGCAACCAAUCAGGUCCUGGGCUUUUAUUAAAAGGAUUUUUUUAAUGAUAUCAUCUAGUUCUUUCAAUGGCAUCUCCUCUUCACGAAGGAUUUAUUUAUACUUAUACAAGGAGUAAAGGGUUGUAUCUUGCUAAAAGAUCACUCGAAU